This 660-nucleotide long non-coding RNA is filed under the name Homo sapiens (human). RNAcentral describes it as "SOX2 overlapping transcript". The stretch from base 1 to 265 matches the Rfam family "SOX2 overlapping transcript exon 3". Lineage: Eukaryota; Metazoa; Chordata; Mammalia; Primates; Hominidae. The record is from RNAcentral.
GGCUAGGUCUUGGAGGCUGGUGUAAGGCGAUGUGGGUGAAGGCAGGAGGCUGAUGGAAAGACUGGGGGGAAGAAAAGCCGAAAUGGAUUCACGGUGCCUUGGAUGAAGGACGAGAGGGGAACUGCAAGCUCCUUCAACUGGUUCUGUCCGGUGAGAAGUGAUCAAGCUUGGGCUGACAAGAGGCUCAGGGAGCCCUCACGUUCUUUCGCUUUUUUACCUGCCAAUCAAACUGCUACAAGACAACACCCUGAUCUGGCAUGGACAUCGCGGGUCCAAGCCUGUAGCCCCAAAUCGGAUAAUCUCUGCAGCUGAUAACAAGCAAAAGAGAAGCCAGGCAACAGCCAUAUUAAAGAAGAAAACAAUCAACUCUGAGGAAGAAAUGUAAUGAAUUGAGUGCUGUCAGAGAUGUCUUCUGUUUGAACAAUCUGCGAUGGGCUGAAUGGCAGGGACUCCCUCAUCCAGUGCAGAUCCAACUUAGAAAUAAUGUUUCAUUCAAGAUAAGGCUCGUGGCUUAGGAGAUUGUGACCUGGCUUGCAUCAUUCUAAGACUUCUAUCGUCUGUUUUCAAAACCCAAGGAGGACCUCCUUUUCUGUGUGAUAGUUCCUCAUGCUUUGCCAGCCACUGGGUCUUUAAGGAAGCUUGCCAAGAGUUCCCGGCUGG